UAGCUCAACUGGUAGAGUGUGGUGUUAACACUGCCAGGGAUAGCGGUUCAAUUCCCACUCGCACCA
Molecule: non-coding RNA, 66 nt
Organism: Merluccius polli (Benguela hake)
Lineage: Eukaryota; Metazoa; Chordata; Actinopteri; Gadiformes; Merlucciidae
Source: the annotation of a GenBank genome assembly